GUUUUUAUCCUGUUAAGAGAAGUCUUGGGAAAAUAUCCUUCGCGGCGGAAUCUGGAAGCACGUUCCUGGUGGUUGCCAGGAUUUCUUGACUUGUGGAUUCACCAGGAUUUCUAAGCAAAAUCCUUGAAAUUGCCAGAUUUUGAACAUUCAGAAGCUUUGCAAAAGGGGAAAGCCAUCGCGGAGUGAUUGCAUUGUCCUUAUUCUGCUUGAGAAAUACAUUGUGGUGAGAAAGAUAUUAUAAAUAUGAAAAGGAAAAUAUGACAAGGGGGUGAGGAUGCAGCCUAAUUAUGGGCUCGUGAUUCGAGGUCAGUUCCGGAGCAAGUGGUACAUGGACACCAUGGGUCCCCUGCUGGUCAUGACUAAUGGGUCAAACAUUACCAUUUAGCAUGUGUGUACGGAUAUGUGACAGAGUUGAGAUAACUUCUGAUUUAUGAUUGUGUCUGGUGAUUUCAUGGGUUGAGUUACUCUUAUUGAAUUCUAAUUGUGUGGAUUUAUCUUAUCCCUGUAUUGGCUGAUAUUUCGGUGUUGGAUGAGUCUUGUUGAUGUUUUCGUGUGGUUAUGUCUUUGUUGUGCCUAGCUGUCUAUUUUAUUAAUUUUGUGAUUGUAUGCACGAUACUAAUCUUAGUCGGCCUAUGAUAUUUACCAGUACAUAGUGUUUGUACUGAUACUACCUUGCUGCAUUCU
Long non-coding RNA from Lycium ferocissimum, 684 nucleotides. RefSeq lists it as uncharacterized. The transcript is spliced from 3 exons. Lineage: Eukaryota; Viridiplantae; Streptophyta; Magnoliopsida; Solanales; Solanaceae. The record is from RefSeq and is a predicted model, not a curated record.